AAAGUGGAUCAAGCGGUCGCUCUCUGCCUCAGGCGGAGAGAGGAAAGUCCGGACUCCACAGGACAGGGUGGCCGUUAACGGCGGCCCCGAGCGAUCGGGGGAAAGUGCCACAGAAAAGAUACCGCCUGUCGCUUUUGCUGGCAGGUAAGGGUGAAAAGGCGAGGUAAGAGCUCACCGGUCCGCCAGUGAUGGCGGAUGCCAGGUAAACCCCACCCGGAGCAAGACCAAAUAGGAGGGUUGGGUGGUCCGCCCUUAGCCCUCGGGUGAGGUCGCUAGACCCUGUGAGCAAUCAUAGGGCAAGAUGAAUGAUCGCUAUGGCUCUUUGUAAGGGUCAAGACAAAAUCCGGCUUACCGAUCCACUUUAGCC
Molecule: non-coding RNA, 367 nt
Organism: Deltaproteobacteria bacterium
Lineage: Bacteria; Pseudomonadati; Myxococcota; Myxococcia
Source: Rfam